RNAcentral lists this transfer RNA (72 nucleotides) under Camelus ferus (Wild Bactrian camel). It matches the Rfam family "tRNA". Rfam says of the family: Transfer RNA (tRNA) molecules are approximately 80 nucleotides in length. The record is from Rfam by way of RNAcentral. Lineage: Eukaryota; Metazoa; Chordata; Mammalia; Artiodactyla; Camelidae.
GAGGGUAUAGCUCAGUGGCAGAGUGCAGUCUUACCAUGCACAAGGUCCUGGGUUCAAUCCCCAGUACCUCUG